Molecule: ribosomal RNA, 250 nt
Filed under: uncultured bacterium
Lineage: Bacteria
Description: partial 16S ribosomal RNA
Rfam family: Bacterial small subunit ribosomal RNA
Source: RNAcentral
UACGGAGGGUGCAAGCGUUGUCCGGAUUUAUUGGGUUUAAAGGGUGCGUAGGCGGCCUUAUAAGUCAGUGGUGAAAGCCCAUCGCUCAACGAUGGAACUGCCAUUGAUACUGUAAGGCUUGAGUACAGACGAGGUAGGCGGAAUUGAUGGUGUAGCGGUGAAAUGCAUAGAUACCAUCAAGAACACCGAUUGCGUAGGCAGCUUACUAGGCUGUAACUGACGCUGAGGCACGAAAGCGUGGGGAGCGAAC